UGGAGGGGAGGGGGGGAUGACGUCAAGUCAUCAUGGCCCUUACGGCCUGGGCUACACACGUGCUACAAUGGUCGGUACAGAGGGUUGCCAAGCCGCGAGGUGGAGCUAAUCCCACAAAACCGAUCGUAGUCCGGAUCGCAGUCUGCAACUCGACUGCGUGAAGUCGGAAUCGCUAGUAAUCGCGAAUCAGAAUGUCGCGGUGAAUACGUUCCCGGGCCUUGUACACACCGCCCGUCACACCAUGGGAGUGGGUUGCACCAGAAGUAGCUAGUCUAA
Molecule: ribosomal RNA, 276 nt
Filed under: Pseudomonas fluorescens
Lineage: Bacteria; Pseudomonadati; Pseudomonadota; Gammaproteobacteria; Pseudomonadales; Pseudomonadaceae
Description: partial 16S ribosomal RNA
Rfam family: Bacterial small subunit ribosomal RNA
Source: RNAcentral